This 57-nucleotide transfer RNA is filed under the name Dipodomys ordii (Ord's kangaroo rat). It matches the Rfam family "tRNA", at positions 8 to 63 of the family's 71-position model. Rfam says of the family: Transfer RNA (tRNA) molecules are approximately 80 nucleotides in length. Lineage: Eukaryota; Metazoa; Chordata; Mammalia; Rodentia; Heteromyidae. The record is from Rfam by way of RNAcentral.
UGGCUCAGUGGUAGAGUGCUUGCCUCACAUGCAUGAGGCCUUAGGUUCCAUUCCUCA